Molecule: microRNA precursor, 136 nt
Filed under: Gossypium hirsutum (cotton)
Lineage: Eukaryota; Viridiplantae; Streptophyta; Magnoliopsida; Malvales; Malvaceae
Description: MIR7502 microRNA precursor family
Rfam family: MIR7502 microRNA precursor family
Source: Rfam by way of RNAcentral
UGUUAAAACUUUUAUCAAUUUUUGCUAUUAAAAACUAGUAUAUCUGACAAAAUAACCAAACAUUGACACGUGACGUGCCACAUGUACCUCAUGCUGAGACCGAUUUUUAACAGUAGAAUAAAUGAAAUUUUUAAUA